AAUAAUAAUAAUUUCCUUCAUCCAAACGCAGCCUUUUGGAGUCAAGAGAGAGUCUUCUCAAAUAGAAAAUUGCCACGUCACCAAAAGCCCAGCUGUAAACUUCCUAUUGGCCAGAACCGUGUCACCGAACGCCUACACCUCCAUUCUCAUAAACUCAGUUCCUCUCCUUCUUUAGUCUCUGAACCAAACUGGACGACGCAGAGAGUUCACAGAUCCAUAGAAACAAACAACACUUAUUCUUAUAAAUCCUCUCACCGUGGCUCCCUCAGCUCCACAAGCCCCUUCUCGAAGGAAACCCUCUUCUUCUUCUCCUUCUUCUUCUCACUUCUAUCAGCCUCGCUAUUAGUUCUGCCAUCAUCAAUGGUUGGAGCCUCCUCAGCCUCUUUGUCUUUCUUCUUCU
This 400-nucleotide unclassified non-coding RNA is filed under the name Hevea brasiliensis (rubber tree). Lineage: Eukaryota; Viridiplantae; Streptophyta; Magnoliopsida; Malpighiales; Euphorbiaceae. The record is from RNAcentral.